GACGAGUGGCGGACGGGUGAGUAAUGUCUGGGAAACUGCCUGAUGGAGGGGGAUAACUACUGGAAACGGUAGCUAAUACCGCAUAACGUCGCAAGACCAAAGAGGGGGACCUUCGGGCCUCUUGCCAUCGGAUGUGCCCAGAUGGGAUUAGCUAGUAGGUGGGGUAACGGCUCACCUAGGCGACGAUCCCUAGCUGGUCUGAGAGGAUGACCAGCCACACUGGAACUGAGACACGGUCCAGACUCCUACGGGAGGCAGCAGUGGGGAAUAUUGCACAAUGGGCGCAAGCCUGAUGCAGCCAUGCCGCGUGUAUGAAGAAGGCCUUCGGGUUGUAAAGUACUUUCAGCGGGGAGGAAGG
RNAcentral lists this ribosomal RNA (358 nucleotides) under Enterobacter hormaechei. RNAcentral describes it as "partial 16S ribosomal RNA". It matches the Rfam family "Bacterial small subunit ribosomal RNA", at positions 90 to 451 of the family's 1533-position model. Lineage: Bacteria; Pseudomonadati; Pseudomonadota; Gammaproteobacteria; Enterobacterales; Enterobacteriaceae. The record is from RNAcentral. RNAcentral also lists the same sequence under 1 other name.